GAGUUUGAUCAUGGCUCAGAUUGAACGCUGGCGGCAGGCCUAACACAUGCAAGUCGAGCGGCAGCACGGGGAGCUUGCUCCCUGGUGGCGAGCGGCGGACGGGUGAGUAAUGCAUGGGAAUCUGCCCGGUAGUGGGGGAUAACCCGGGGAAACCCGGGCUAAUACCGCAUACGUCCUACGGGAGAAAGCAGGGGAUCUUCGGACCUUGCGCUAUCGGAUGAGCCCAUGUCGGAUUAGCUUGCUGGUGAGGUAACGGCUCACCAGGGCGACGAUCCGUAGCUGGUCUGAGAGGAUGAUCAGCCACACCGGGACUGAGACACGGCCCGGACUCCUACGGGAGGCAGCAGUGGGGAAUAUUGGACAAUGGGGGAAACCCUGAUCCAGCCAUGCCGCGUGUGUGAAGAAGGCUUUCGGGUUGUAAAGCACUUUCAGCGGGGAAGAAGGCAUGGCGGCUAAUACCCGCCAUGAAGGACAUCACCCGCAGAAGAAGCACCGGCUAACUCCGUGCCAGCAGCCGCGGUAAUACGGAGGGUGCAAGCGUUAAUCGGAAUUACUGGGCGUAAAGGGCGCGUAGGCGGCCUGCCAAGCCGGAUGUGAAAGCCCCGGGCUCAACCCGGGAACGGCAUUCGGAACUGGCAGGCUAGAGUGCAGGAGAGGAAGGUGGAAUUCCCGGUGUAGCGGUGAAAUGCGUAGAGAUCGGGAGGAAUACCAGUGGCGAAGGCGGCCUUCUGGACUGACACUGACGCUGAGGCGCGAAAGCGUGGGUAGCAAACAGGAUUAGAUACCCUGGUAGUCCACGCCGUAAACGAUGUCGACCAGCCGUUGGACCCCCUGAGGGUCUGGUGGCGCAGUUUACGCAAUAAGUCGACCGCCUGGGGAGUACGGCCGCCAGGCUAAAACUCAAAUGAAUU
This 911-nucleotide ribosomal RNA is filed under the name uncultured bacterium. RNAcentral describes it as "bacterial SSU rRNA". It matches the Rfam family "Bacterial small subunit ribosomal RNA", at positions 9 to 911 of the family's 1533-position model. The record is from RNAcentral.